AUUGAACGCUGGCGGCAUGCCUUACACAUGCAAGUCGAACGGCAGCACGGGAGCUUGCUCCUGGUGGCGAGUGGCGAACGGGUGAGUAAUGCAUCGGAACGUGCCCUGAAGUGGGGGAUAACGUAGCGAAAGUUACGCUAAUACCGCAUAUUCUGUGAGCAGGAAAGCAGGGGAUCUUCGGACCUUGCGCUUUUGGAGCGGCCGAUGUCGGAUUAGCUAGUUGGUGGGGUAAAGGCCCACCAAGGCGACGAUCCGUAGCGGGUCUGAGAGGAUGAUCCGCCACACUGGAACUGAGACACGGUCCAGACUCCUACGGGAGGCAGCAGUGGGGAAUUUUGGACAAUGGGCGCAAGCCUGAUCCAGCCAUGCCGCGUGAGUGAAGAAGGCCUUCGGGUUGU
RNAcentral lists this ribosomal RNA (398 nucleotides) under uncultured bacterium. Its description in RNAcentral is "bacterial SSU rRNA". It matches the Rfam family "Bacterial small subunit ribosomal RNA", at positions 30 to 426 of the family's 1533-position model. The record is from RNAcentral.